Molecule: RNA transcript, 3531 nt
Organism: Rhagoletis zephyria (snowberry fruit fly)
Lineage: Eukaryota; Metazoa; Arthropoda; Insecta; Diptera; Tephritidae
Gene: Cdc7
Gene name: Cdc7 kinase
Source: RefSeq, a predicted model, not a curated record
UUUUGUUUUUGUUUGCUAACACCACCUUGUAUAAAUCGCCUUGGAUGUGGAUUAACAAGAAAUAUCGAUACGUCGACAAGUGGUCGAUUAGAAUAAUGUCGAUGCAUCUAAGCAAAACAUCGAUGUUUUUUUGAAAUCCCUGACACCGGGCUCAAUUCAUCUUGCCGUCAUUCUCGCAGCAAACUCGAUUUUCGGCAACUGACAGGCAGGAAGCGUGGCGGAUUUAUUUUUCAAUAAUUUUUCAUAUUUUCACAUUAGUAAAAUUCCCAUUUGUUAUUUAUCUACAUCAACAUUUCAUUCGACCAUACGGCAAAUAAAACAAAAAAAUUCAAAUACAAUUCGAUCGACCGAAUUGGACGGUAAACAAAUUUUUUGUCGUGCAAAAUUUUUUGUAAGUCGCAGGACCGAAAGGGAAAUUUGUAUGAGUUCGGUUGGAAGUGAAUUAAGUAAUUCUAAUUCCCAUACAUUUUGGCAUCUGCCUGGCAAAUGCAGGUAAAUCGUUUUACGGUGUGUCGUUGGGUCUAUCUUGAACUACCUCAAGAGCAGAGUUGAAAUAAGGAUUAGUGCUGUGAAAAUUUUGUCGUGGAGUAUCCAAAACUAUCGGGGAAUAAAGGGGCUUCGCGGAGGGUGAAGCACGCCCAAAGGCGUAGUGAAAAUCGCCCUUUGCAAAACGAGCAAACGGUGAUUUUUAGUGAAGGAUUUACGCCCAGGGCUUAAGCAUCAACAUAUACUAGCGUCAGUUGUUAUUGUACCAGCAGCCGCAGCUGGAAAAACAACGCCCUAAAAACCAUCACAAAUAUCACCAGUUACACAAAAACCAUUGCCUAAAAUUGCUCCAACUCGUCAAAUCCCACAGAAGUUCCGGCCCCGUAAGAAGCCGGAAGGUGAGCCAAGGAGGAAAAAAAUGGAAAAGAAGUCACAUAAAGCAACACGUAAUGGCAAUAUAAUAGUAGCUGGUGCCAGUUCCGGCAUCUCAACCGGUGGCAGCGCAGUUGCACCCGUCACGACGCUUUCCAUACCCACCCGCACAACUGGCCAUAAGCAGCACACUCCCAGCGGUAGCGCAGUAGCCGCAACUGGCGCUGCUGGCGGUGGUGGUGUCAGUAGUAGUGGGAAACACCGCAGCAGCAACUCGGGUCAUCACUAUCACAGUCAUCACACACACCUUACUAGUCAUCCCCAACACCACCAGCACACCACACACACCAGCACAGCGAAUCAAACGCAGGAAGCAACGCAAGUGCAGCAUUCGACGCUACAUGCCCCGAAUCCCGCGAUAUUGCUAGCAGUCGGCAAAGCGGCUAACGAAGCCAGCCGGGGCACGAAAGUUACGGGUACACAAGUCACCAACGCUAUGGAACAUAUAGCGACAGCGCUAACAACAGUCAGUCCCAAGUUGGCAACGACGGCGGCGAUGCGCAACAAAAACGAAGAGGCUAUCAACGACUUACGUCAACGCAUUCCCGAAAUCGAAAAUAUUUUCGAUGUACACAGCCGUAUCGGCAAUGGCACCUUCAGUACGGUGCUGCUGGGAACUUUGAAGAAGGAACGCGGUUUGCCGGAGCAUAUGCGACGUAAAUUCGCAAUAAAACAUCACAUACCCACCAGUCAUCCGGAUAGGAUAAUGAAGGAGCUGCAGUGCAUGGCGAAAAUUGGCGGCACCGACAAUGUCGUCGGCAUCAACUGCUGCAUACGCUACAACGAAUCGGUGGCCUUCAUCAUGCCGUACAUGCAACACGAUCGUUUUCACGACUUCUUCAACAAAAUGGAGCUGUCCGAGUUGCAGCACUACAUGCGGAAUUUGCUGAUCGCCCUGCGGCACGUCCACAAAUUCAAUGUUAUUCACCGCGACGUGAAGCCUAGCAACUUUUUGUACAACCGACGCAAGCGCCAAUUCCUGCUGGUGGACUUCGGCCUGGCGCAACAGGUGCCCACAUCUCAUGUGGCGAACACUCUGGAAGGGGGCUGUGAACAGCCGCUCUCAUUGGCGAUGGGGUCGGAAGGCAAGCGUCCGCGCGACGGCGAAGACUCGGCGUCCAACAGAACGGCCGAUUCGAAUGGCAGCGUGGCGGCUGGUGACGCUUAUGGCGGCUCAAAGCGUCCGCGUUGCACCGGGCCACAUGGCGAUCAGGAAUUUACCGCAAAUGCGACGCCCAAUGCACGUGUCGCCAACAGCUGCAUAGUUGGCGGUUCGCCAUUCAAGAUGCCACUGAAGCAAUUGAACGAGAUCACUGCGACGGGCGGCAACAAGACUAGCGCUUUGGGCGCGGUUUCCAACCUAGCAAUGGGAAGCGGCACGAACGCGACCAACCACAACAACAACGCCGGCGAUAAUGGCAUUUGCGAGGCGCAGCUAGGACGGCAGGUAAAGUCCGCCAUACUGGGAAGCUCAGCAAGCACCCGCCUGCAGCAGAAAUUGCGUCAAAGCGGAGGCGGCAUGCGCAGUCCCAACAGUGCCGCACAGGAUGCUGCAGCCACCGGCUCGAAUGCCGGCGCAGCACAGUGCAUGGAGAGCUGCUUGGCCAACAAAUACAACACCAAUCGCAAUAUGAGCGUCACCAACGGCCCGAAGUGCGUGUGCUAUGGCAAUCCGCAGGUCUGCAACAUCUGCCUCGUCAAAAAAGAGAUGCACGCAUCACGCGCCGGCACGCCCGGCUAUCGGCCGCCUGAAGUGCUACUGAAGUAUGCCGAUCAGACCACUGCGGUUGACAUUUGGGCUGCGGGCGUCAUAUUCCUCUCCAUACUGUCAUCGGUGUACCCGUUUUUCAAGGCGCCGAACGACUUUGUGGCGCUUGCUGAGAUGGUCACCAUAUUCGGCGACAAGACCAUACGUAAGACUGCCUUCAUACUCGACCGCUUGGUGACGCUGAGCCAAAAGACGCGACCGCUGGACCUACGCAAGCUGUGUGUGCGCUUUCGAAAUCGCGUGAAAUUCAGCUCGCCAGAACUGCUGAAGAAGUAUCAGCGGCCGGAUGGUACCUGUGAAGUGUGUCGCAACUGUGAUCAAUUCUACUUCAACUGCUUGUGCACGGAAACCAACUACAACACCGAACCGCUGGACGGCGAUGACCCUUUCCCCGCAAGCGCCUACGAUUUGCUGUACAAACUGCUCGAAGUGAAUCCACAUCAACGCAUCACCGCUGAUGAGGCGCUCAAACAUCCCUUCUUCAGUGAAAUGGCCACCACCAGCAUCAGCCAGAGUUCAAGUGUUACUAGUAACAACAAUAAUAAUAAUAAUAAUAAUGUAAAUAGAACGGCUAUCUCCAUAGAGAGCAUACAGAAGAAGGGUGCACGUGAUAAAGUAGAACCUUGAAGUUUGCGCAAAUGACGUGGCAAACGUGGGCGGAAGGGGAGAGAGAAACCUAUAGAAACUGGAAGUUAGGCAGCCGUAAAAAUGUUCGUUAAUUGUCUGCGAGUUGCAAAUUGUUGAGAUUGUUUUUGGACCUCAGUCAUACGUAGUAAAUCAUGAAUACCGNUCAGCGCAGUAUAGGCGCGCAUGUGCCUGUGUCUGUGCAGUUACCGGACCCCAAA